GGACGGCUAGCUCAGUUGGUUAGAGCAUCUCGUUUACACCGAGAGGGUCAGGGGUUCGAGUCCCUUGCCGUCCACCA
Molecule: transfer RNA, 77 nt
Filed under: Verrucomicrobia bacterium ADurb.Bin122
Lineage: Bacteria; Pseudomonadati; Verrucomicrobiota
Also listed under: 1 other name
Description: tRNA-Val
Rfam family: tRNA
About the family: Transfer RNA (tRNA) molecules are approximately 80 nucleotides in length. Their secondary structure includes four short double-helical elements and three loops (D, anti-codon, and T loops). Further hydrogen bonds mediate the characteristic L-shaped molecular structure. tRNAs have two regions of fundamental functional importance: the anti-codon, which is responsible for specific mRNA codon recognition, and the 3' end, to which the tRNAs corresponding amino acid is attached (by aminoacyl-tRNA synthetases). tRNAs cope with the degeneracy of the genetic code in two manners: having more than one tRNA (with a specific anti-codon) for a particular amino acid; and 'wobble' base-pairing, i.e. permitting non-standard base-pairing at the 3rd anti-codon position.
Source: RNAcentral